GAUGAACGCUGGCGGCGUGCCUAAUACAUGCCAGUCGAGCGAACGGACGAGGAGCUUGCUCCUCUGACGUUAGCGGCGGACGGGUGAGUAACACGUGGAUAACCUACCUAUAAGACUGGGAUAACUUCGGGAAACCGUAGCUAAUACCGGAUAAUAUUUUGAACCGCAUGGUUCAAUAGUGAAAGACGGUUUUGCUGUCACUUAUAGAUGGAUCCGCGCUGCAUUAGCUAGUUGGUAAGGUAACGGCUUACCAAGGCGACGAUGCGUAGCCGACCUGAGAGGGUGAUCGGCCACACUGGAACUGAGACACGGUCCAGACUCCUACGGGAGGCAGCAGUAGGGAAUCUUCCGCAAUGGGCGAAAGCCUGACGGAGCAACGCCGCGUGAGUGAUGAAGGUCUUCGGAUCGUAAAACUCUGUUAUUAGGGAAGAACAAAUGUGUAAGUAACUAUGCACAUCUUGAUGGUACCUAAUCAGAAAGCCACGGCUAACUACGUG
RNAcentral lists this ribosomal RNA (497 nucleotides) under uncultured bacterium. RNAcentral describes it as "partial 16S ribosomal RNA". It matches the Rfam family "Bacterial small subunit ribosomal RNA", at positions 28 to 507 of the family's 1533-position model. The record is from RNAcentral.